GACGAACGCUGGCGGCGUGCCUAAUACAUGCAAGUAGAACGCUGAAGCGAGGAGCUUGCUCUUCUUGGAUGAGUUGCGAACGGGUGAGUAACGCGUAGGUAACCUGCCUUGUAGCGGGGGAUAACUAUUGGAAACGAUAGCUAAUACCGCAUAACAAUGGAUGACACAUGUCAUUUAUUUGAAAGGGGCAAUUGCUCCACUACAAGAUGGACCUGCGUUGUAUUAGCUAGUAGGUGAGGUAAUGGCUCACCUAGGCGACGGUACAUAGCCGACCUGAGAGGGUGAUCGGCCACACUGGGACUGAGACACGGCCCAAACUCCUAAGGGAGGCAGCAGUAGGGAAUCUUCGGCAAUGGGGGCAAACCUGACCGAGCAACGCCGCGUGAGUGAAGAAGGUUUUCGGAUCGUGAGCUCGGUUGUAAGUGAAGAACGGGUGUGAGAGUGGAAAGUUCACACUGUGACGGUAGCUUACCAGAAAGGGACGGCUAACUACGUG
Molecule: ribosomal RNA, 496 nt
Filed under: uncultured bacterium
Lineage: Bacteria
Description: partial 16S ribosomal RNA
Rfam family: Bacterial small subunit ribosomal RNA
Source: RNAcentral